Molecule: ribosomal RNA, 936 nt
Filed under: Triticum aestivum (bread wheat)
Lineage: Eukaryota; Viridiplantae; Streptophyta; Magnoliopsida; Poales; Poaceae
Description: partial small subunit ribosomal RNA
Source: RNAcentral
AUGUACAAUAAUGUUGUGACAGGUGUUCGAACAAGUGAUGUCGACACCGAUGACUUCCCGAUUAAGAUAGGACUGCAUCAGGGGUCAGCUUUGAGCCCUUAUCUUUUUGCAUUGGUGAUGGAUGAGGUCACAAGGGGUAUACAAGGAGAUAUCCCAUGGUGUAUGCUCUUUGCGGAUGAUGUGGUGCUAGUUGACGAUAGUCGGACGGGGGUAAAUAGGAAGUUAGAGUUAUGGAGACAAACCUUGGAAUCGAAAGGGUUUAGGCUUAGUAGAACUAAAACCGAGUACAUGAUGUGCGGUUUCAGUACUACUAGCUGUGAGGAGGAGGAGGUUAGCCUUGAUGGCCAGGUGGUACCUCGGAAGGACACCUUUCGGUAUUUGGGGUCAAUGUUGCAGGAGGAUGGGGGUAUUGAUGAAGAUGUGAACCAUCGAAUCAAAGCCGGAUGGAUGAAGUGGCGCCAAGCUUCUGGCAUUCUCUGUGACAAGAGAGUGCCACAAAAGCUAAAAGGCAAGUUCUACAGGACGGCGGUUCGACCCGCAAUGUUGUAUGGCGUAGAGUAUUGGCCGACUAAAAGGCGACAUGUUCAACAGUUAGGUGUGGCGGAGAUGCGUAUGUUGAGAUGGAUGUGUGGCCACACGAGGAAGGAUCGAGUCCGAAAUGAUGAUAUACGAGAUAGAGUUGGGGUAGCACCAAUUGAGGAGAAGCUUGUCCAACAUUGUUUGAGAUGGUUUGGGCAUAUUCAGCGCAGGCCUCCAGAAGCUCCAGUGCAUAGCGGACGGCUAAAGAGUGCGGAGAAUGUCAAGAGAGGGCGGGGUCGACCGAUUUUGACAUGGGAGGAGUCUGUUAAGAGAGACCUGAAGGAUUGGAGUAUCGACAAAGAGCUAGCUAUGGACAGGGGUGCGUGGAAGCUUGCUAUCCAUGUGCCAGAGCCAUGA